RNAcentral lists this ribosomal RNA (434 nucleotides) under uncultured bacterium. RNAcentral's name for it is "partial 16S ribosomal RNA". It matches the Rfam family "Bacterial small subunit ribosomal RNA", at positions 29 to 507 of the family's 1533-position model. The record is from RNAcentral.
AGCGAACGCUGGCGGCAGGCCUAACACAUGCAAGUCGAACGAACCUUUCGGGGUUAGUGGCGGACGGGUGAGUAACACGUGGGAACGUGCCUUUAGGUUCGGAAUAACUCAGGGAAACUUGUGCUAAUACCGAAUGUGCCCUUCGGGGGAAAGAUUAAUCGCCUUUAGAGCGGCCCGCGUCUGAUUAGCUAGUUGGUUGAGGUAAUGGCUCACCAAGGCGACGAUCAGUAGCUGGUCUGAGAGGAUGAUCAGCCACAUUGGGACUGAGACACGGCCCAAACUCCUAAGGGAGGAAGAAGUGGGGAAUCUUGCGCAAUGGGCGAAAGCCUGACGCAGCCAUGCCGCGUGAAUGAUGAAGGUCUUAGGAUUGUAAAAUUCUUUCACCGGGGACGAUAAUGACGGUACCCGGAGAAGAAGCCCCGGCUAACUUCGUG